This 501-nucleotide ribosomal RNA is filed under the name uncultured bacterium. RNAcentral describes it as "partial 16S ribosomal RNA". It matches the Rfam family "Bacterial small subunit ribosomal RNA", at positions 30 to 523 of the family's 1533-position model. The record is from RNAcentral.
AUUGAACGCUGGCGGCAGGCUUAACACAUGCAAGUCGAGCGGAGAGAGGUAGCUUGCUACUGAUCUUAGCGGCGGACGGGUGAGUAAUGCUUAGGAAUCUGCCUAUUAGUGGGGGACAACAUUUCGAAAGGAAUGCUAAUACCGUAUACGUCCUACGGGAGAAAGCAGGGGAUCUUCGGACCUUGCGCUAAUAGAUGAGCCUAAGUCGGAUUAGCUAGUUGGUGGGGUAAAGGCCUACCAAGGCGACGAUCUGUAGCGGGUCUGAGAGGAUGAUCCGCCACACUGGGACUGAGAAACGGCCCAGACUGCGACGGGAGGCAGCAGUGGGGAAUAUUGGACAAUGGGCGGAAGCCUGAUCCAGCCAUGCCGCGUGUGUGAAGAAGGCCUUAUGGUUGUAAAGCACGUUAAGCGAGGAGGAGGCUACUGAGACUAAUACUCUUGGAUAGUGGACGUUACUCGCAGAAUAAGCACCGGCUAACUCUGUACCAGCCGCCGCGGUAA